This 468-nucleotide ribosomal RNA is filed under the name uncultured bacterium. Its description in RNAcentral is "partial 16S ribosomal RNA". It matches the Rfam family "Bacterial small subunit ribosomal RNA", at positions 28 to 507 of the family's 1533-position model. The record is from RNAcentral.
GACGAACGCUGGCGGCGUGCUUAACACAUGCAAGUCGAACGGUGAAGCUCCAGCUUGCUGGAGUGGAUCAGUGGCGAACGGGUUAGUAACACGUGAGCAACCUGCCCCAGACUCUGGAAUAAGCGCUGGAAACGGCGUCUAAUACUGGAUACGAGAUCAAGCCGCAUGGUUAUGGUCUGGAAAGUUUUUCGGUUUGGGAUGGGCUCGCGGCCUAUCAGCUUGUUGGUGAGGUAAUGGCUCACCAAGGCGACGACGGGUAGCCGGCCUGAGAGGGCGACCGGCCACACUGGGACUGAGACACGGCCCAGACUCCUACGGGAGGCAGCAGUGGGGAAUAUUGCACAAUGGGCGAAAGCCUGAUGCAGCGACGCCGCGUGAGGGAUGACGGCCUUCGGGUUGUAAACCUCUUUCAGCAGGGAAGAAGCGAAAGUGACGGUACCUGCAGAAGAAGCACCGGCUAACUACGUG